CAAUCAAACCGGGAGAUAGCUGGUUCUCCCCGAAAGCUAUUUAGGUAGCGCCUCGUGAAUUCAUCUCCGGGGGUAGAGCACUGUUUCGGCAAGGGGGUCAUCCCGACUUACCAACCCGAUGCAAACUGCGAAUACCGGAGAAUGUUAUCACGGGAGACACACGGCGGGUGCUAACGUCCGUCGUGAAGAGGGAAACAACCCAGACCGCCAGCUAAGGUCCCAAAGUCAUGGUUAAGUGGGAAACGAUGUGGGAAGGCCCAGACAGCCAGGAUGUUGGCUUAGAAGCAGCCAUCAUUUAAAGAAAGCGUAAUAGCUCACUGGUCGAGUCGGCCUGCGCGGAAGAUGUAACGGGGCUAAACCAUGCACCGAAGCUGCGGCAGCGACGCUUAUGCGUUGUUGGGUAGGGGAGCGUUCUGUAAGCCUGUGAAGGUGUACUGUGAGGUAUGCUGGAGGUAUCAGAAGUGCGAAUGCUGACAUAAGUAACGAUAAAGCGGGUGAAAAGCCCGCUCGCCGGAAGACCAAGGGUUCCUGUCCAACGUUAAUCGGGGCAGGGUGAGUCGACCCCUAAGGCGAGGCCGAAAGGCGUAGUCGAUGGGAAACAGGUUAAUAUUCCUGUACUUGGUGUUACUGCGAAGGGGGGACGGAGAAGGCUAUGUUGGCCGGGCGACGGUUGUCCCGGUUUAAGCGUGUAGGCUGGUUUUCCAGGCAAAUCCGGAAAAUCAAGGCCGAGGCGUGAUGACGAGGCACUACGGUGCUGAAGCAACAAAUGCCCUGCUUCCAGGAAAAGCCUCUAAGCAUCAGGUAACAUCAAAUCGUACCCCAAACCGACACAGGUGGUCAGGUAGAGAAUACCAAGGCGCUUGAGAGAACUCGGGUGAAGGAACUAGGCAAAAUGGUGCCGUAACUUCGGGAGAAGGCACGCUGAUACGUAGGUGAAGCGACUUGCUCGUGGAGCUGAAAUCAGUCGAAGAUACCAGCUGGCUGCAACUGUUUAUUAAAAACACAGCACUGUGCAAACACGAAAGUGGACGUAUACGGUGUGACGCCUGCCCGGUGCCGGAAGGUUAAUUGAUGGGGUUAGCGCAAGCGAAGCUCUUGAUCGAAGCCCCGGUAAACGGCGGCCGUAACUAUAACGGUCCUAAGGUAGCGAAAUUCCUUGUCGGGUAAGUUCCGACCUGCACGAAUGGCGUAAUGAUGGCCAGGCUGUCUCCACCCGAGACUCAGUGAAAUUGAACUCGCUGUGAAGAUGCAGUGUACCCGCGGCAAGACGGAAAGACCCCGUGAACCUUUACUAUAGCUUGACACUGAACAUUGAGCCUUGAUGUGUAGGAUAGGUGGGAGGCUUUGAAGUGUGGACGCCAGUCUGCAUGGAGCCGACCUUGAAAUACCACCCUUUAAUGUUU
Molecule: ribosomal RNA, 1403 nt
Filed under: Shigella flexneri
Lineage: Bacteria; Pseudomonadati; Pseudomonadota; Gammaproteobacteria; Enterobacterales; Enterobacteriaceae
Description: partial 23S ribosomal RNA
Rfam family: Bacterial large subunit ribosomal RNA
Source: RNAcentral